This 255-nucleotide ribosomal RNA is filed under the name uncultured bacterium. Its description in RNAcentral is "partial 16S ribosomal RNA". It matches the Rfam family "Bacterial small subunit ribosomal RNA", at positions 524 to 776 of the family's 1533-position model. The record is from RNAcentral.
GACGUAGGUGGCGAACGUUAUCCGGAAUUAUUGGGCGUAAAGGGUGCGUAGGCGGCAUGAUAAGUUAUUGGCGGCAAAUCGAGGCUCAACCUCGUGGAAACUGAUAAUACUGUUUUGCUUGAGUACAGGAGAGGUUAACGGAACUCCAUGUGGAACGGUAAAAUGUGUAGAUAUAUGGAAGAACAUCAAUAAGGCGAAGGCAGUUAACUAUUCUGUUACUGACGUUGAGGCACGAAAGCGUGGGGAGCAAAAAGG